This 1442-nucleotide long non-coding RNA is filed under the name Sus scrofa (pig). RNAcentral's name for it is "lncRNA (ENSSSCG00065041297.1)". The record is from RNAcentral. Lineage: Eukaryota; Metazoa; Chordata; Mammalia; Artiodactyla; Suidae.
GCUGCUCGCGCCUCCCGCCCCGCCCGCGCGCGCNGGGGGGGGGGGGGGGGGGGGGGGGAGUCGAGGAGGGGCCGCGCCCGGUCCUCGCCCGCAGCGGGCACCGCCGGGGGCCCCGGGAGGCCUUGUUGGUAUUCCGGGCACAGCAGAAGCCCUGACCUCCCCGCGGAACAGGGGCGCCCGGGAGCGCGGCGCGGCCGCCGCCCCCGGGCGGUCUCCCCGGACUGCGGGGCCGUAGGCGCCUUGCUCCCCCUCCUCCCUGUCCCCUCCUCUCCAGGUCCCCCGUACCCCCUCCCCCGGCCUGAUCCGGCGGCGAAGGGGUGGGCAGGGAAACGCGCUCUCUGGGACAGGUGCCAACUCCGAGACAAAAGACAUAAAAUAGGCGGCAACGGGGGAAGCGCGGCCGGCGCGCUCGGGCGGGGACGGAGGCGCCGCGGGGGCCGCAUCCUCGGUGCCGACCGGGGAAAGUUUGGGAAGUCGCCGCGGCGGCUUCGCAGCGGCGGGGGACACGCGGGCCGGGCCGCCCUCCGCGCCGCGCUCGCCCUCUCCGCGCCGCUGCUGAAUAAUUCAUGGCGCGGCCGCCGGCCAUUAGCAUGCACCGGGCGCGCGGCGCGUCUGUGCCCAGCCGUCGCCGCCGCAUUCGGCGCCCCGGCCGCGCUAGACGAGCGGCCGCGCAGAGGCCGGGCCCGCGCCGUCCCCGCGCUCGCCCGCCCGUCCGCCCGUCCGCCCACCCGGCGGCUCCCAUUGUGCCCCAGGCCCGCGCCGCUCCGCCGUCCUGUGACCGCCUGCGCCCCGCAGCGCGCCCGACGGCCGGCCGCUGGAAGUUCGGGCCCGCGGCGCACGCCCUGCCGCCCCGGGAUGCACGUGAACUUGGAGAAAGUCUCGGGGCGCGCCGGCGCAGACCUCCGCGGCAGGGCGUGGGCGCCCCUGGCCCCGCGCGCUUUCGUUUUCGUCUGGGACAAAGGUCCCUCGCGGCGCAGGUCGCGGACGUGGAGGCAGUGCCCUGCGGGCCACUCAGCGGGGAGGUCCGGUCGUUCAGUCAAGGGAAGCCGGAGCCUGGAGAAGACGAGCCGCGCGGUCGGAGGCGCGGUGCGGGACCAGGACAGUGGGGCCUGGCCGUGCGCUUCGCCCUGGCGGUCCAGGAGCUGUCUCGCCCUCCGAAGAGUUACGGGAGGUGGCACUGCUUUUGCUCUCUGCCCUUUCGACACGUGAAGGAGAGAAUCAUUCGGAACCCAGGACUCAGACCGGUGGCCGAGGGCCUGUGCAGCCGCGAGCACGACAGCGCAGCGCUGGCCGCGUCCGCGCGCGUUCCUCCGACAAGGGCAGAGCAGUCGACCAGCGCGCCCCAGUCUCGAUCGGGUUCAAGGCGACUCUUGAGGACGGUGGCUGACACACGGGCCCAGCCGGCAGCCCUGGGGAAUUUGUGGGGAGCAAGAAAGGGGUGA